GAGAUAAUUCACAUUGAACUUCUAACUCAAUCUUUAAUAGUAAAUCUAUUUUAUCUCU
Molecule: transfer RNA, 58 nt
Filed under: Pseudomyrmex concolor
Lineage: Eukaryota; Metazoa; Arthropoda; Insecta; Hymenoptera; Formicidae
Description: tRNA-Ser
Source: RNAcentral